Cyanistes caeruleus (blue tit) is the source of this 377-nucleotide long non-coding RNA. RefSeq lists it as uncharacterized. The record is from RefSeq and is a predicted model, not a curated record. NCBI's taxonomy places the organism in Eukaryota, Metazoa, Chordata, Aves, Passeriformes, Paridae.
GGGACCAGGGCUCCUGCAACCUGCCUCCACGCAGCACGUUAAAAACAUUUUCUUGCCUUCUCCCUCCAAAGGAGGUGGAGAGAGGAGGAAAAAGCCCUCUUGAUGUUUUCCUGCCCAGCUACCAUCAAAUCCCGACCUGAGGAAUGCCAGGUGAAGAAGCCGGCCUCUCGCUCCAGGAAAGAGGCACAAGAAGCCGGGCAGCAGCCACUGCAGAGCCUGCUCAGAAGUUCGCUCCCUCUGUCACAGUGUGUGCAGCUUGCCAGGUAUAGCCGGGAUGAGAACACCCCGUGCUUUUCCCAGGAUGAAUGAGAUCAGCACAUAUUCAGUCAAGGGGAAAAAAAAAUAAAAAAUAAAUAUAUGUGAUGGUUUAAGACCCA